Protopterus annectens (West African lungfish) is the source of this 103-nucleotide small nuclear RNA. Lineage: Eukaryota; Metazoa; Chordata; Ceratodontiformes; Protopteridae. The record is from RefSeq and is a predicted model, not a curated record.
UUGUUUCUCCAGCAAGUGCAUUGAAAUUGGAAUGAGAAACAGAAGAUUAAGAUGUCCCCUGCACAAGGAUGGCAUACAAAUGCAUGGAGCAUUCCAUAAAAUG